UCCUCCUUUAAGAGACACAGCAUGAGUUUCCCUGGCUCCAUCUGAGGCACAGAAGCAAGAUCUAGACCCCCAACCUCUCAAAACACCCAAGCGUCAAAGAAGCCCAAACCCCUGGUCUCCAUCCACAAUCCUGCCUUCUUCAGUCAGCUUCCUUGAUCAAGAAGUCCCAGAGCCCACUCUUUCCUGCUAGUUCUCCAAGGCAAUGGGUGAGGCAGCAGGCAGCUACGCUCACCUACCAGUAGAUCAUCUAGUCUUGCCUGUGAGUCAUUUAGCCCAGGGUUCCAACAUUCUUAUUUCGGGGCCACACCUGCUUCUUGGUUUCACACUUAAGGAGGCCAAAGAACACCUUGCAAAAGAUAAACAAAACUUCCACAUCUUCCAACAGAAACUUCUGACAGUGCAAACUAAGACGCUCCCAUAUGAUCUUAAGAAUCUGAGCAUCACAGCCUCAUGGGGAAGGUGUGCCUGUCAUCACCUGCACUAGUAAGUACCCACAGUGCCAUCCCUCUGCCCCAACAGCCUGGAAGGCAAAGGUGCUUCACUGAGCCAAUAACCUACAAGAACACAUUAGAAGUAUCAACAUUCUGACCAUGUGCUCAGCCACCUUCCAGAAUGCUACUACUGCUAGCACAAUCUAUAUCCAAAUAGAGAAAACAAACACCUGAGAGAUGGAGAAACUAAAGAACCAAGCAAUCAAGUAAUCAUUCUAGGUAGCAAAGCUGCAAGAAUGCAAAUGCAGGCAAUGUGACUCCCCAGUCACCACCUCAGCCACCGAGCCAUACAGUUUCACAUGCCAAUCACACAGCCCUCAAGACCUUCCAGGGAGGUGGUGGUGCAUGCUUGUCAGUGGGAAGAGGCAGAAGAUCUGCGAGUUCAAAGUCAGCCUGGUCUAUAGCAUGAGUUCUAGGACAACCAGAACUACACUGAGAAACCCUGUCUUCAAAAACAAACCAAAAAAUUAAAAUAAAAUUUGAGACAGUGUCUCAAAUACCU
This is a long non-coding RNA of Rattus norvegicus (Norway rat), 993 nucleotides long. RefSeq lists it as uncharacterized. The record is from RefSeq and is a predicted model, not a curated record. NCBI's taxonomy places the organism in Eukaryota, Metazoa, Chordata, Mammalia, Rodentia, Muridae.